UGUGUGUGUGUGUGUAUGUGAGGUUCCAACCGAAGAAACCAAAUGCUGAACUGCUUCCAAAACAUCUGCACAGGACAGACAGGAAGGUCUCCAGGCACAUGUGCUGGGGACGUGCACACACUACAGCAGUAUUGGACAUAAUGACAGGAGCAGACCUUCUCACCCUCUCACCUGAUCCACAUCUGACAAGGAGAAGCAGAGGACCAGG
Clarias gariepinus (North African catfish) is the source of this 208-nucleotide long non-coding RNA. RefSeq lists it as uncharacterized. The transcript is spliced from 3 exons. The record is from RefSeq and is a predicted model, not a curated record. Lineage: Eukaryota; Metazoa; Chordata; Actinopteri; Siluriformes; Clariidae.